CGGUAAUUCCAGCUCCAAUAGCGUAUACUAAAGUUGUUGCAGUUAAAAAGCUCGUAGUUGGAUUUCUGCGCGGGCGGGGCGGCAGCGGGCUCUUAAACCUGUCUUGCUAGCACCUCCCGCGCAUCCUGCCGCGACCCACGCUACCAUUCACUUGGUGGCGUCUGGCGACCAGCUCGUUUACUUUGAGAAAAAUAGAGUGUUCAAAGCAGGCAUCUCGCCUUGAAUAAUGUAGCAUGGAAUAAUGAUAAAGGACUUUGGUUCUAUUUUGUUGGUGUUCGGGACUGAAGUAAUGAUUGAUAGGGACAGUUGGGGGCGUCUGUAUUCUGAAGCGAGAGGUGAAAUUCUUAGACCUUCGGAAGACAAACAGCUGCGAAAGCGUUCGCCAAGGAUGUUCCCUUUGAUCAAGAACGAAAGUUGGGGGAUCGAAGACGAUCAGAUACCGUCGUAGUCUCAACUAUAAACUAUACCAGCUAGGGAUCGGCCAACGUUGAUUCCAAAAGACUUGGUCGGCACCUUAUGAGAAAUCAAAGCAUCUGGGUUCCGGGGGGAGUAUGGUCGCAAGGCUGAAACUUAAAGGAAUUGACGGAAGGGCACCACCAGGCGUGGAGCCUGUGGCUUAAUUUGACUCAACACGGGGAAACUUACCAGGUCCAGACAUGAGAAGGAUUGACAGAUUGACAGCUCUUUCUUGAUUUUAUGGGUGGUGGUGCAUGGCCGUUCUUAGUUGGUGGAGUGAUUUGUCUGGUUAAUUCCGUUAACGAACGAGACCCCAGCCUGCUAAAUAGCGCGCGUGGCCUCUGGCCGCGGCGAGCUUCUUAGAGGGACUAUGGCUUCGUUAUAGGCCAGGGAAGUUUGGGGCAAUAACAGGUCUGUGAUGCCCUUAGAUGUUCUGGGCCGCACACGGGCUACACUGACGCGUGCAACGAGCAUAUCAGCUGGCCCGAAAGGGUGUGGGCUAAUCUUUUGAACUCGCGUCGUGCUAGGGAUCGACUAUUGCAAUUGUUAGUCGUGCAACGAGGAAUGCCUUGUAAACGCGAGUCAUCAACUCGCAUUGAAUACGUCCCUGCUCCUGUACACACCGCCC
This 1084-nucleotide ribosomal RNA is filed under the name uncultured Rhizaria. Its description in RNAcentral is "bacterial SSU rRNA". It matches the Rfam family "Eukaryotic small subunit ribosomal RNA", at positions 577 to 1674 of the family's 1831-position model. The record is from RNAcentral.